UACGGAGGAUCCAAGCGUUAUCCGGAUUUAUUGGGUUUAAAGGGUGCGUAGGCGGCCUGUUAAGUCAGGGGUGAAAGACGGUGGCUCAACCAUCGCAGUGCCUUUGAUACUGAUAGGCUUGAAUACACUAGAGGUAGGCGGAAUGUGACAAGUAGCGGUGAAAUGCAUAGAUAUGUCACAGAACACCGAUUGCGAAGGCAGCUUACUAUGGUGUCAUUGACGCUGAGGCACGAAAGCGUGGGGAUCAAACAGG
This 253-nucleotide ribosomal RNA is filed under the name uncultured bacterium. RNAcentral's name for it is "partial 16S ribosomal RNA". It matches the Rfam family "Bacterial small subunit ribosomal RNA", at positions 524 to 776 of the family's 1533-position model. The record is from RNAcentral.